This is a long non-coding RNA of Thalassophryne amazonica, 152 nucleotides long. RefSeq lists it as uncharacterized. The transcript has 3 exons. NCBI's taxonomy places the organism in Eukaryota, Metazoa, Chordata, Actinopteri, Batrachoidiformes, Batrachoididae. The record is from RefSeq and is a predicted model, not a curated record.
UAAAUAAGAAAUGACUAAAUGCAAAAGACAAAGUGAAAUGUUUCAUACUUUGAAUGACUCUUCGUUUGUCUGGUGGUGGAGUUGCACCACCCUUCUUUUUUGCAUCCAGUCAAGAUCCUCCAGCGAGAUCCUACUGAGGCUGCACUCAGCUG